Molecule: long non-coding RNA, 354 nt
Filed under: Ananas comosus (pineapple)
Lineage: Eukaryota; Viridiplantae; Streptophyta; Magnoliopsida; Poales; Bromeliaceae
Description: long non-coding RNA (ACOM_LNC016235)
Source: RNAcentral
AUAGAAGUGAAAAUUAAAAUCUUCAUACUUGUUUCAUUGAAAGUGGACUUAGUGGAGAGUGAGUAAUUUUCGGCUGUAAAUAUCUACUUUUGGUAUUUGAUUUAUUGUAACUUUAUCUUUGGUUGAAACUUAAACUUUCCAAAGUAAAGCAAUUGAUUUUGACCCACAUGAGAUCAAAGUCAAUUACGAAUAAAACAUGAGAAAAAAAAUAAAAUAUUAAAUUAUCCGUCACACCUCUAAAUAUUACGUCAUCCAUUUUCUACGAAAUAAACAACAAAGCUGAAAAAUCUUCAAUUUCAUAGCUAUAAAAAAAAAAAAAAAAUCUAUUCCAACCUAAUCUUCACCCUUUAUUGG